Molecule: ribosomal RNA, 384 nt
Filed under: Pectobacterium sp. J38
Lineage: Bacteria; Pseudomonadati; Pseudomonadota; Gammaproteobacteria; Enterobacterales; Pectobacteriaceae
Description: bacterial SSU rRNA
Rfam family: Bacterial small subunit ribosomal RNA
Source: RNAcentral
AGAAUUGACGGGGGCCCGCACAAGCGGUGGAGCAUGUGGUUUAAUUCGAUGCAACGCGAAGAACCUUACCUACUCUUGACAUCCGCUGCAUGGCUGUCGUCAGCUCGUGUUGUGAAAUGUUGGGUUAAGUCCCGCAACGAGCGCAACCCUUAUCCUUUGUUGCCAGCGAUUCGGUCGGGAACUCAAAGGAGACUGCCGGUGAUAAACCGGAGGAAGGUGGGGAUGACGUCAAGUCAUCAUGGCCCUUACGAGUAGGGCUACACACGUGCUACAAUGGCGUAUACAAAGAGAAGCGAACUCGCGAGAGCAAGCGGACCUCAUAAAGUACGUCGUAGUCCGGAUUGGAGUCUGCAACUCGACUCCAUGAAGUCGGAAUCGCUAGUA